Pipistrellus kuhlii (Kuhl's pipistrelle) is the source of this 117-nucleotide long non-coding RNA. RefSeq lists it as uncharacterized. The transcript is spliced from 3 exons. Lineage: Eukaryota; Metazoa; Chordata; Mammalia; Chiroptera; Vespertilionidae. The record is from RefSeq and is a predicted model, not a curated record.
GAUCCUGCACGUUACAAUAGGCAAAAAAGCUUUUAGGAAAUAAAAAUAUUUUAAAUUGAUCCAUUACGAUUUUUCAAUCUUCUUGAGUACAUUGUAAAGUGGGAAAAAGACAAGAGA